GCAGCCGAAAAAGGCGCGGAUGCUUUAUCCCUGGGGCUGCCCUAAGAGAGGUGACCGUACCAGCGGGAACCCGAAGAUGUAUGGCAGAGCCUGGCACCGAACCACCUCCCCUGAGGACGCCUCGUAACUCUGCGGCUCCUCCUGAACUGGCUUGGGGCGGUCUCUCCUUCAGGCCUUGCCCUUGCGAGGACUUAACAGAGACCAGGCCAGCAGGACCCAGUACCCAUCCAUGGGAGCCGUCUGGAUGAAAUAACUUAUUUUAUAAUUGCUUUACUAACUGCUGAGACUGAGACUCACUGAAAGAACUUGCACAAAAUCAACUUUUAAAAGGCAGGCCAGGUCUACUGGAACCCAGGUCUUUAAGCCUUGAAAGACAAUGCAGCAUGCCUGGAAAAAGAAAAGGUUUUGGGAGCAGACACCUGAGCUCAGUGUUGCCUCAGGACUUCAUGCUAGCCCUGGGCCACAGGUACUUCAGCUCACACUGGACUUGGAGCCCGACCCCACCCAGCUUCCCACUGCCAUCUGGUGGUCAUCCGGAGCCCAGGGCCCAGCUCCUGAUGGGCCUUCAUCAACAAUCUCCUUCAGAGUGCUGCAAAGCCUGUGGGCAACCCUACUUCCGCCCCUGAAAAAGUUGGCAUGAGAGAGAAAGGCCCAAUAUCUUGCCUCCAGUAAGUCGGACCAGCUGGGAUUCUAUUUUUAACCUGCACUGUUGUAGUUGACAGCUUGGAACGCCUUCUCCCUCCUUUUCUUCCUGCAUCCUGCCUCUUGCAGCCCAGGGCCCUGUAGAAAGGAUGGAUGGGAGCAGCCUCAGCACUGGUAAACAAAAGACCACUCUCCUUUCUCAUUGUCCUUCACCUGGCCUUUGUCCAGCCUAGUUAGUGGGUGGAGUUAGAGGUGUUACUGGCUGUGAGGUUAACAGAGGCUUAAAUCUCUGGGCUUCUCACUGCAUAGGCGCCUUCCGUGGCCCUGGUCAGUGUCCUGGCAAUUUUGUAUCUGUCAUUUUGUAUUCUUUUUCUUAAAAAGGGCACCCGGUUUUAUAAGCUCCAGGCCCCACAAAACUUGGGUCUGCCUCAUGAUGGGUAUGGCUUGUUUGCCAUCUGAGCUUAGUGUCUACUUCAAUAGGAUUAUUUCUGUCUUGUUCUAAUUUAUUGUAUGACCUUGAACAGCUUUCUUUCCUGCUCUGGGUCUCUAUUUUCCCAUCUGUUACAAGACAAAGUGUCAAGAAACCCUCUCACUCUAUCAUACUUCUGAUUAUCCAUGUAUAUCCCUGGUGAGGUCACCUGUUCUUCCCUACCUGUCAUUGUGUGUGUGAAAGGAUGA
This is a long non-coding RNA of Panthera uncia (snow leopard), 1320 nucleotides long. RefSeq lists it as uncharacterized. The record is from RefSeq and is a predicted model, not a curated record. NCBI's taxonomy places the organism in Eukaryota, Metazoa, Chordata, Mammalia, Carnivora, Felidae. The transcript is spliced from 3 exons.